CACGUAGUUAGCCGUGACUUUCUAAGUAAUUACCGUCAAAUAAAGGCCAGUUACUACCUCUAUCUCUCUUCACUACCAACAGAGCUUUACGAGCCGAAACCCUUCUUCACUCACGCGGCGUUGCUCCAUCAGACUUUCGUCCAUUGUGGAAGAUUCCCUACUGCUGCCUCCCGUAGGAGUUUGGGCCGUGUCUCAGUCCCAAUGUGGCCGAUCAGUCUCUCAACUCGGCUAUGCAUCAUUGCCUUGGUAAGCCGUUACCUUACCAACUAGCUAAUGCACCGCAGGUCCAUCCAAGAGUGAUAGCAGAACCAUCUUUACAAACUCUAGACAUGCGUCUAGUGUUGUUAUCCGGUAUUAGCAUCUGUUCCAGGUGUUAUCCCAGUCUCUUGGACAGGUUACCCACGUUGUUACUCACCCGUCCGCCGCUCGCUUGUAUCUAGUUUUCAUUUUAGUGCUAAGCCAACUUAAAAUCAUUACUAGGACAAGUCGUCCGCUUCCGACUUGGCC
Molecule: ribosomal RNA, 507 nt
Filed under: uncultured Lactobacillus sp.
Lineage: Bacteria; Bacillati; Bacillota; Bacilli; Lactobacillales; Lactobacillaceae
Description: partial 16S ribosomal RNA
Source: RNAcentral